RNAcentral lists this unclassified non-coding RNA (230 nucleotides) under uncultured Russula. Its description in RNAcentral is "sequence contains ITS2". The record is from RNAcentral. Lineage: Eukaryota; Fungi; Basidiomycota; Agaricomycetes; Russulales; Russulaceae.
ACACAUCCUCAACCUUCUUUUGGUCUUUUGACCAGGGAAGGCUUGGACUUUGGAGGUCUUUCAUUGCUGGUAUCCUUUUAAAGCCAGCUCCUCCUAAAUGAAUCAGUGGGGUCCGCUUUGGUGAUCCUCGACGUGAUAAGCAUUAUUCUACGUCUUGGGUUUUCACAGCAACCUGCUUCCAACCGUCUUUAAACAAAGACAAUGUUCGGGUUUCGACUCGACCCACAAAA